CAAACUUUGAGAGUUGGAAUCAUCUGUGAAGUACAAAUUCAGAGCCCAGAGCCAAAACCAUGCUAAUAAUGUGGGAAAAUAAAUUGGGGACCCAAAACGAACAAGCCUAUCUGCCAGUGUUAUCCACCAGACUAUAUUUCCAAGCAAACACUAAAAUCUACAUUCUAAACAAUAACCAAUGUGACAUAAGCCACCAGAAUUUGAUCCAUCAACCGUCCAAAACUUUUGAUCUCAACUCAAAUCCAAUAUUACCCUCACCAAUCUCAAUGCAGCCAUUCCAAUGAUUCUAUUGUGGCUGGUCUGAUGACUUAAUCUGAAACCAAUGGAAACAAUAAAUCGACUCCUCUACAGAUAUUGCCUUCAACUCAGCUUAGGUCGGAUCUACUUCUGUCCAAUGGAAUGCGUGAAUCCAACGUUGAAAGGAUUUGAGGCAUCGACAUUCCCCCAGACACUACAAUUUCAAUGCCUUC
RNAcentral lists this unclassified non-coding RNA (470 nucleotides) under Hevea brasiliensis (rubber tree). The record is from RNAcentral. Lineage: Eukaryota; Viridiplantae; Streptophyta; Magnoliopsida; Malpighiales; Euphorbiaceae.